CGACCGGAGGACGCGCGCCUCGUCGAUCCGUCGGACGCGCCGCUGCGCGGCGCGGUCGCGCACUGCGCAUUCCUCGGCGAGCGCACGCGCGUGACGAUCGAGCACGCCGCGCCCGACCCGCUCGUCAUCGACGUGCCGGGCCGCGUCGAUCUCGCGCGCGGCACCGCGGUCGGCGUCGCGAUCGCGGCCGAGGGGCUCAUCGCACUCGCGUGAUGCGCGUGCGCGCGGCGCGGGCACUGCGUCGGAGGUCUUGCGUCCCGCGACAGGCCUCUCGCGCCGUGCAUCGUGCAUCGUGCAUCGUGCAUCGUGCGACCGGCGACCGGCGACCGGCGACCGGCGACCGGCGACACAUGAUGCGCGAAGGCGAUGCGCGGCGCACGCCGCCGACGCCCCGAACCAAACGAGACACGACCCGAACCCCAUACAAUCACAACGAGGAACGAUGAUGCUGCUUGCCCACAUCAGCGAUCUGCAUAUCAAGCGGCCGGGCGCGCUCGCGUAUCGGCGCGUCGAUACCGCCGCGCAUCUCGCGCGCUGCGUCGCGCGGCUGAACGCGCUCGAGCCGCGCCCGGACGCGGUGCUCGUCACGGGCGACCUGACCGACUUCGGCGACGACGACGAAUACGCACACCUGAAAGCGCUGCUCGCGCCGCUCGCGAUGCCGUACUACCUGCUCGUCGGCAACCAUGACGACCGCGCGGCGCUGCGGCGCGCCUUCCCCGCGCGCGUCGAGCUGCAAUCGGGCGAGUUCGUCCAGUACGCGCUCGAUCUCGGGCCGCUGCGCGUGAUCGCGCUCGAUUCGCAGAUUCCGGGCGCGAGCGGCGGCACGCUGUGCGACGCGCGGCUCGCAUGGCUCGCCGAUCAGCUCGACGCCGCGCGCGAUCGCCCCGUGAUCGUCGCGCUCCAUCAUCCGCCGUUCGCGUGCGGCAUCGGCCACAUGGACGCGAUGCGGCUCGCCCCGGACGCGUCGAGCCGGCUCGACGCGCUGCUGCGCCGCCAUCCGAACGUCGAGCGCGUGCUGUGCGGCCACGUGCAUCGGACGAUGUUCGCGCGCUUCGGCGGCACGAUCGCGUCGGCCGUGCCCGCGCCCGCGCAUCAGGUCACGUUCGAUCUGCGCGACGGCGGGCCUUCGUCGUUCUCGAUGGAGCCGCCCGCGUUCGCCGUGCACCGCCAUGCGCCGGGCGCCGGGCUCGCGUCGCAUCACGUGUACGUCGACGCGAGCGAUGGGCCGCAUCCGUUCUUCGAGCCGACGGGAACGUUGAUCGAUUGAGCGCGCAAUCGAGCGGCCGAUCGCUCGCACGGCGGCGCGGCUCGCUGCAAACGUGCCGAGGCGCACGCCUUCGCGCGAUCCCUCGGCGGCGGCUUGCGGCUCGGCGCCGUCGGGCCGCACGGUCCGCGGCGCAUCGCGUGCGGCGUCGCACGACGCGGCGCCGCACGCGCCCGGCAAACGUCAUGCGCGCGACGGCGUGCAUUCGGGCCCGCGGGCACCGGGCACGCGAGCGUCGACGCGCGGCGCAUGCGCGCCCCUGGCCCUCCCGCGCAUUUCGUAGGCGGGCCGUCACGGCGCAAGCCGGCUACGUCACACGUCACCCCUCACGCUGAGUAUGGCAUGCCGCAUGCCGUACUCAGCGUGCACCGCCUGGCCGAUCGAUAACCGCGAGCAAAUCGGCGAGCGCCUGCCUGCAUGCGCCAGCUUGCGGCCUGUCGGCGCGCAGCGCGGUGAGCGCACGAUCGAUCGCGUGGUCGACCGCGUGCCAAUCGGCCGCCGCGCGCGGCUUGAGCGACGGCUCCGCAUCGUCCCACGACGUUUCCAGAUCCUUGAUGCGCGCCUUCGCGCCGGCGAGGUCACCCUUGUCGACGCGUUGCGCGACGUCGACGGCGAUCGCACGGAACGGCGACAGAUCGCCGAGCUUCGAGACGGUCGCGGCUUCGGCCAUGCUCGGCGCGACGCCUGCCGGCGACACCGUGCCGAUGCCGAACGCGGCGAGCGCCAGCGCGGGCGCGGCGGCGAAGGCGAUGAGCUUGCGCUUGAUCAUGACAAACCUCCUCGUGUUGAACUCGAAUGAAACGGUGGAAUACGACGCCGCCUCCGGUUUGCGUCAACGUCAACGUCAACGUCAACGUCAACAGCAACAGCAACGUCAGCGGCAGCCGCGACGGCAAGACCUCAGCGCCCGCGCGCGCCGAGCCGGCCCGCGCGCGCGGCGGCGACACUCAGCCCCGCGACGAGCGCAACGAUCACCGCGAGAAACACGGCGCUCGUCCUGAUCGUGCCGAGCCCGAGGCCGCCGUACGCUUGCGCCUGCGACAGGAAAUCACCGAGCGACGCGCCGAGCGGACGCGUGAGGAUGUACGCGAGCCAGAACGCGAGCACGCGGUUCAUCCCGCCGAGCGCGGCCGCCGCGACGAGCGCGAUCGCGCCGCCGAACGCGACGAUCCCGAGCCGGAAUCCGAGGCCGAGCGCCUCGGUCGCGAGAUCGCCCGCCGCCGUGCCGAGCGCGAACGUCAGCAGGAUCGCGGCCCAGUAGAACCCCUCGCGGCGCGGCGUGACGAUCGUAUGGAUCGACAGCGUGCGCUCGCUGCGAUACCAGAGCGCGAACGUCGCCGCGAGCGCGGCGGCGAAAAGCGGCGUGCUGACGUGGAGGCUGACGCCGAGACCGUCGGUGAGCGCGUCGGUGAUCUGCGUACCGGCGACGCUGACGAGGACGAUAUUCAGCCAGUAGAUCCAUGGCACAUAGGCGCGCGCGCGCCAUUGCAGCGCGAGCGCGCCGACCAGCAGGCAGGCCGUCAGCGCGCCCGUGACGGCGGCGCCGAGCCCCACGUGGACGGCGAGAUAAUCGGCGCCGGUCU
This 2850-nucleotide ribosomal RNA is filed under the name Burkholderia mallei 2002721280. Its description in RNAcentral is "23S ribosomal RNA". The record is from RNAcentral. Lineage: Bacteria; Pseudomonadati; Pseudomonadota; Betaproteobacteria; Burkholderiales; Burkholderiaceae.